This 485-nucleotide ribosomal RNA is filed under the name uncultured bacterium. RNAcentral describes it as "bacterial SSU rRNA". It matches the Rfam family "Bacterial small subunit ribosomal RNA", at positions 35 to 507 of the family's 1533-position model. The record is from RNAcentral.
GCUGGCGGCAGGCCUAACACAUGCAAGUCGAGCGGUAACAUUUCUAGCUUGCUAGAAGAUGACGAGCCGCGGACGGGUGAGUAACGCGUAGAAAUCUACCUAGUAGUGGGGGAUAGGCCCAGAGAAAUUUGGAUUAAUACCGCAUACGCCCUACGGGGGAAAGCCGGGGGAUCGUUCGGACCUCGUGCUAUUAGAUGAGUCUGCGUCGGAUUAGCUUGUUGGUGAGGGUAAUGGCUCACCAAGGCGACGAUCCGUAGCUGGUCUGAGAGGAUGACCAGCCACACUGGAACUGAGACACGGUCCAGACUCCUACGGGAGGCAGCAGUGGGGAAUAUUGCACAAUGGGCGCAAGCCUGAUGCAGCCAUGCCGCGUGUGUGAAGAAGGCCUUAGGGUUGUAAAGCACUUUCAGCAGUGAGGAAAGGGGUGUCGUUAAUAGCGCCAUCCUGUGACGUUAACUGCAGAAGAAGGACCGGCUAACUCCGUG